GGAGAGGCCAGAGAUUGAGCCUGGGACCUUCUGCAUACAAAGCAUGUGCUCUGCAUUGACCUCCCUGCUGCCACAGUGAAGAGUGACCUCUUCAGCCUGGUCCUUUGCAUGUUUACUCACAAGGUCCACAGAGUUGGUUAGACCUGCUCUUGGGUGUGUGCGUGCAUCAGGUGGCACCCUCCGUGAAAUUUCAGUGCAGCAAGUCUCUCCCUUCUGAGGGUGGUAAACAAGAUUUGUUCAAUGUCUGCAGGUUGUGUGGCUGUUAAAAACACAAUAAGAAAAAGACAGACAUCAUUUCCUACUCUUUCUCAAGAGUAAAUGGUUCCCAGUUAGGAAUUCCUUGCCAGAUAAAACCCUGACCGGCACCAUUUUUUACUGCAUCCUAGGCCCGUGCUGGGGUGGAGUGGGGUGGGGAGGAAAGGUCUAGAGUGUUUGCUGAGCCAAUACUGCAGUUUUUAUUUGGCACACUAUUUCUUUUUCUUCCAUUAAAAGAAAAAUCAAUAGUCAGGCAUAAA
Long non-coding RNA from Podarcis raffonei (Aeolian wall lizard), 515 nucleotides. RefSeq lists it as uncharacterized. Lineage: Eukaryota; Metazoa; Chordata; Lepidosauria; Squamata; Lacertidae. The transcript has 2 exons. The record is from RefSeq and is a predicted model, not a curated record.